GUGAGCUAGGCGCGGCGGGGCGUUUUAACUAUCUUGCUCGGGCGCGGUGCUAGCGGGAUGUGUGGACUGGUUCGCAUGUGUGCAGUACGUUUGUUUGCUCUAGUGUGUUAGGGUGCGUGUGUCCCACCUCUCUGAUUUCGGACAUCCUGUGUGUCGAUGCAUCCCGCACUUUCUUCGCUGAUGCCGGCUGCCUUGCAACACGAACACACGUAACAUACCCUGGUGUUGCAAUUCGGUGCUGGCUGUUUGCAGUCUGGAGAUGUUGGUGGCAGGAGUGUUGCGCCAGUGUAUGAUUAGCUCAAAUGCGUGUGUACCUGCCUGACUUUGCGGGGUGAACACCCAACCAUUUUUCACCACACAAAUUGCGCGUGAGCGCCCGAACCGGACAUGCGUCGCCAUCAGUGCGGGGCAGGCUAUGUGCGCGCCAAGCAAGCAAGCAAGCACCAGUCUACUGCUACUGAUAGCAGAGUGUGUACAUCGACAGACGAGGCAUGGAGGAAUGGUGCGCAGCCCCAGGCGGCUCAAAGUGGUGGUGACGGGGGAGGCACGGGCAGGCUGACUGGAGCACACACUUCCUACCUGGGCUCCCGGCGCAAUGUCCUUGUGCCUCCCGGUGUACAGUAAAGGCUAUCCUGUAACAGAGAUGCGGCUGUGUCUGCGCUGGGGCGUUUCUAGGGUAAGGCGAAAUGCUGGGAGAGCGAGCACUGGUCUGCACGGCCGGAACUGGUUCCUCCUGUGCUUGGGCUGCCGACCAUUCGCACAGCAGCCCGGGCCCCCGGCCUCUGCAGCCUCCGCAGCAUCUAGAGCAAUUAUAGACAGCGGUAGCUAGCUGCCGGACCUGUGAGCGCUGGUGCCUUCCCCCC
Molecule: long non-coding RNA, 863 nt
Filed under: Chlamydomonas reinhardtii
Lineage: Eukaryota; Viridiplantae; Chlorophyta; Chlorophyceae; Chlamydomonadales; Chlamydomonadaceae
Description: long non-coding RNA (CREI_LNC000825)
Source: RNAcentral